This 448-nucleotide ribosomal RNA is filed under the name uncultured bacterium. Its description in RNAcentral is "SSU rRNA". It matches the Rfam family "Bacterial small subunit ribosomal RNA", at positions 26 to 518 of the family's 1533-position model. The record is from RNAcentral.
AGAACGAACGCUGGCGGCAGGCUUAACACAUGCAAGUCGAACGCUCGUAGCAAUACGGGAGUGGCAGACGGGUGAGUAACACGUGGGAACAUCCCCCUCGGUUCGGAAUAACUCAGGGAAACUUGAGCUAAAUACCGGAUACGUCCGAGAGGAGAAAGAUUUAUCGCCGAGGGAUUGGCCCGCGUCUGAUUAGCUAGUUGGUGAGGUAACGGCCCACCAAGGCGACGAUCAGUAGCUGGUCUGAGAGGAUGACCAGCCACACUGGGACUGAGACACGGCCCAGACUCCUACGGGAGGCAGCAGUGGGGAAUCUUGGACAAUGGGCGCAAGCCUGAUCCAGCCAUGCCGCGUGAGUGAUGAAGGCCUUAGGGUUGUAAAGCUCUUUCGACGGGGACGAUAAUGACGGUACCCGUAGAAGAAGCCCGGCUAACUUCGCGCCAGCAGCCGC